Molecule: ribosomal RNA, 253 nt
Filed under: Mediterraneibacter glycyrrhizinilyticus
Lineage: Bacteria; Bacillati; Bacillota; Clostridia; Lachnospirales; Lachnospiraceae
Description: partial 16S ribosomal RNA
Rfam family: Bacterial small subunit ribosomal RNA
Source: RNAcentral
UACGUAUGGUGCAAGCGUUAUCCGGAUUUACUGGGUGUAAAGGGAGCGUAGACGGAGAGGUAAGUCUGAUGUGAAAACCCGGGGCUCAACCCCGGGACUGCAUUGGAAACUGUUUUUCUAGAGUGUCGGAGAGGUAAGUGGAAUUCCUAGUGUAGCGGUGAAAUGCGUAGAUAUUAGGAGGAACACCAGUGGCGAAGGCGGCUUACUGGACGAUGACUGACGUUGAGGCUCGAAAGCGUGGGGAGCAAACAGG